This 518-nucleotide ribosomal RNA is filed under the name Actinote anteas. Its description in RNAcentral is "partial 16S ribosomal RNA". The stretch from base 391 to 518 matches the Rfam family "Bacterial large subunit ribosomal RNA", at positions 2473 to 2601 of the family's 2925-position model. Lineage: Eukaryota; Metazoa; Arthropoda; Insecta; Lepidoptera; Nymphalidae. The record is from RNAcentral.
GUCUUUUUGAUUAAUAAUUUAAAGUCUAAUCUGCCCACUGAUGGAAUAUUAAAGGGCUGCAGUAUAUUGACUGUACAAAGGUAGCAUAAUCAUUAGUCUUUUAAUUGAAGACUUGUAUGAAAGAUUUAAUGAAAUAUAAACUGUCUCUAAUUUAUUUUUAAAAUUUAAUUUUUUAGUUAAAAAGCUAAAAUAUUUAUAAAAGACGAGAAGACCCUAUAGAGUUUUAUAAAUAAUAAUAAUUAUAAUUAAAUAUAUAAAUAAUAAAUUUAUAAUUAUUUUAUUAUUAUAUUGGGGUGAUAGAAAAAUUAAAUUAACUUUUUUUUAAAUUAGACCAUAAAUAAGUGAUUAUAGGAUCCAAUAAUAUUGAUUAAAAGAAAAAAUUACCUUAGGGAUAACAGCGUAAUUUUUUCUUUUAGUACAAAUAAGAGAAAAAGUUUGCGACCUCGAUGUUGGAUUAAGAUAAAAUUUAAAUGUAAAAGUUUAAAAUUUUGAUCUGUUCGAUCAUUAAAAUCUUACAU